RNAcentral lists this long non-coding RNA (330 nucleotides) under Homo sapiens (human). RNAcentral describes it as "non-protein coding lnc-SULF2-10:1". The record is from RNAcentral. Lineage: Eukaryota; Metazoa; Chordata; Mammalia; Primates; Hominidae.
GCCGGGCGUGGUGGCACAUGCCUGUAAUCCCAGCUACUCGGGAGGCUGAGGCACGAGAAUUGCUUGAACCUGGGAGGCGGAGGUUGCAGUGAGCUGAGAUCAUAUAAUUGCACUCCAGCCUGGGCGACAGAGCAAGACUCUGUCUCCAAAAAAAAAAAAAAAACCUCACGUCCAAGAUGGUAGCCACAGGUCACAUGUGGUUCUUCAGUACUUGAAAAUGGCAAGUGACUGAGGAACUGAGUUUUUCAAUUUUUUUUUUUUUUUUGAGACAGAGUCUGACUCUGUCACCCAGGCUGGGGUGCAUUGGUGUGAUCUCGGCUCAUUGCAACC